This 672-nucleotide ribosomal RNA is filed under the name uncultured bacterium. RNAcentral describes it as "bacterial SSU rRNA". It matches the Rfam family "Bacterial small subunit ribosomal RNA", at positions 138 to 807 of the family's 1533-position model. The record is from RNAcentral.
GGGGGAUAAGCGGAAGAAAUUCCGUCUAAUACCGCGUAAUAACUCCGAGAGGCAUCUCCUGGGGUUUAAAGGGUAACACCGGCUACGGAUGGCCAUGCGGCGCAUUAGCUAGUUGGCGGGGUAACGGCCCACCAAGGCGACGAUGCGUAGGGGUUCUGAGAGGAAGGUCCCCCACACUGGUACUGAGACACGGACCAGACUCCUACGGGAGGCAGCAGUGAGGAAUAUUGGUCAAUGGGCGCGAGCCUGAACCAGCCAAGUCGCGUGAGGGAAGACGGUCCUAUGGAUUGUAAACCUCUUUUGUCGGGGAGCAAAAGACGCCACGCGUGGCGUUCCGAGAGUACCCGAAGAAAAAGCAUCGGCUAACUCCGUGCCAGCAGCCGCGGUAAUACGGAGGAUGCGAGCGUUAUCCGGAUUUAUUGGGUUUAAAGGGUGCGCAGGCGGAAGAUCAAGUCAGCGGUAAAAUUGAGAGGCUCAACCUCUUCGAGCCGUUGAAACUGGUUUUCUUGAGUGAGCGAGAAGUAUGCGGAAUGCGUGGUGUAGCGGUGAAAUGCAUAGAUAUCACGCAGAACUCCGAUUGCGAAGGCAGCAUACCGGCGCUCAACUGACGCUCAUGCACGAAAGUGUGGGUAUCGAACAGGAUUAGAUACCCUGGUAGUCCACACAGUAAAC